This 250-nucleotide ribosomal RNA is filed under the name uncultured bacterium. RNAcentral describes it as "partial 16S ribosomal RNA". It matches the Rfam family "Bacterial small subunit ribosomal RNA", at positions 524 to 773 of the family's 1533-position model. The record is from RNAcentral.
GACGGAGGGGGCAAGCGUUGUCCGGAAUCACUGGGCGUAAAGCGCGUGUAGGUGGCAGUCUGCGUCGGUGCUGAAAUCGCCGGGCUUAACCCGGCGCAGCGUGCCGAUACGAGAGUGCUCGAGGCAGGGAGAGGAUGGCGGAAUUCCGGGUGUAGUGGUGAAAUGCGUAGAGAUCCGGAGGAACGCCAGAGACGAAGGUGGCCAUCUGGCCCUGACCUGACACUGAGACGCGACAGCGUGGGGAGCGAAC